This 334-nucleotide unclassified non-coding RNA is filed under the name soil metagenome. RNAcentral describes it as "partial contains 5.8S ribosomal RNA, internal transcribed spacer 2, and large subunit ribosomal RNA". The stretch from base 1 to 120 matches the Rfam family "5.8S ribosomal RNA", at positions 35 to 154 of the family's 154-position model. The record is from RNAcentral.
GAUGAAGAACGUAGCGAAAUGCGAUAAGUAGUGUGAAUUGCAGAAUUCAGUGAAUCAUCGAAUCUUUGAACGCACAUUGCGCCCCUUGGUAUUCCAUGGGGCAUGCCUGUUCGAGCGUCAUUUGUACCUUCAAGCUUUGCUUGGUGUUGGGUGUUUGUCCAUUCUCUUGCAGAGGGACUCGCCUUAAAGUAAUUGGCAGCCAGUGUUUUGGUUUUGAAGCGCAGCACAAGUCGCGAUUCAACGCUAUACGACAGCUUCCACAAGCCUUUUUCACUUUUGACCUCGGAUCAGGUAGGGAUACCCGCUGAACUUAAGCAUAUCAAUAAGCGGAGGA